UACAGAGGGUGCGAGCGUUGUCCGGAAUCACUGGGCGUAAAGGGCGCGUAGGCGGCCUGAUAAGUAGGGGGUGAAAUCCUGCGGCUUAACCGCAGGGCUGCCUUCUAAACUGUCGGGCUCGAGCACAGUAGAGGCAGGUGGAAUUCCCGGUGUAGCGGUGGAAUGCGUAGAGAUCGGGAGGAACACCCGUAGCGAAGGCGGCACUCUGGGCCGGUACUGACGCUGAGGAGCGAAAGCGUGGGGAGCAAACAGG
RNAcentral lists this ribosomal RNA (253 nucleotides) under uncultured bacterium. RNAcentral describes it as "partial 16S ribosomal RNA". It matches the Rfam family "Bacterial small subunit ribosomal RNA", at positions 524 to 776 of the family's 1533-position model. The record is from RNAcentral.